Molecule: long non-coding RNA, 2978 nt
Organism: Macaca fascicularis (crab-eating macaque)
Lineage: Eukaryota; Metazoa; Chordata; Mammalia; Primates; Cercopithecidae
Source: Ensembl
AGCAAGGCCACUAUCCCUUGUGUCCCAUUCAUCUUGUCUGAUACGGCUGCAACUGUUACUUCCAUUCUUCUACAAUUAGAAAACCUCUGGAGUUUGGGUAUUAGCAACUACCAAACAUGUAGUUUAUUAUUUGUUGAGCACUAACCCCGCGCAGCACCCCAAAUGGGAAUUACAGCAACAAUACACAUGACUGUGCUCUGGGAUAAUCGAGCAUUUUCAUUUUGUGUUGCAUUCCUCAAACAUUCUGGCAAAGGGGCCUGUGCUGACCUCCCCACACAGUGAUAGAUUUCCUUGCUGCGUAAGUCUAUGGGAAAAUUCCUCUUCCCUGGGAUGAGAAUGUGACCCUGUGACUGGGCGCCCAUUACAGUCAGGGGGCGCGGUGCACCUGCAGGGUCUCCCUCCCUCACAGAGGGACUAGAAUCCCGCCUCUGCAAAUCCACCCAGCUCAGGCUCUGCAGAACAUCUGGGCUUCCUCCUACUACUGGCCACUGCGAAGGGCUGUGCACCUGCAUGUGAUUAGGACUCGGCAAACACCCACAGCCUACAGGGCUGCAUGCUGGUGGCACAUCACAGUGGACAAGUUUCUCUCCAGAUCAUUGUCCCUUCUGAGCAGAUAGUCACAGGGUUCCUAGGGCACAAGAACACAUGCAUCCAUGACCACGUUGGGCACCACCAUCAAUGGAACAGCAGUUGGAGGCAUCUCUGCCUUGGCCUGCUUGGAAAUGAGCAGGCAUCAGAGGCAGAUCCAGGACCUGACAGGACCAGGGAAGGAGUGGAGAAGUCAGUCUUAGCCGCCUUUACCAUUAGUCAUGGACAGGCCUUUUAGAUGUGCUCUUAUCAGUGUCUGGGAAAUUAGAUAAAAUUUUAAAUGCCAUCCCCGACUUUCCUUUCUCUCUGUGACUACUACUCUACUGAAUGUGUACUCUAACCACAGAAUGCUGUGGUAGGUCAAAUGGAGACUGAAAAAUAAGAAAAUGAAAAAAGAUGCUUAUAAACAAAGCAUGACAAGACCUUCCAGUUUUCAAUGACACGGUCGUAGAACUUACACAUUUAUUUUACCUGCCAAAUGAGUUAGUUGAAAGGGGAACACAAGUUUUCUUCCAAAGAAAAAGACUCCUUUAUUUAGUAAUAUGAAAUGGAGUAGUGAAAAGAAAGCAGGCUUUCUUGAUCUUUCACCAGAAAGUCACAUGACCAUAGGAACCUGCAUUAACAAACUGUGGCCUAUUGGAUUCACCAUGAACAUGGGCUGCCAUCACUGACGAAAAGGUGGGUCACUCCAGCAGGCUCCAUAUCCCAAAAGAGGUAAUCCUGGUAACAAGUCACUAAUAAGGCUAAGUCCUUGUCAACUUCCUACAGUUGCUGCUCUGUCGUUAGUCUUCUCCCAGAAAUAUUUAAGGAACACAUUAAAUAGAUUUCUCCUUCAUCUGUAGGCAAAAGUCAGGUGCAAGAGCUGGGAUAGCAACAGAUGCUGUGUGGUUGAUCCUGUCCUGCUGCAUCCUUCGUGGUGUCACCGAGCACAGGCUUUUGUACUUGUCUCGAAGAGUACUGGGCAAAAAAGGCCCUGUCAGAUUUGCUGUAGGACCUUAUUGGGUUCUGUGAAGUAUGUAAUGGGCCUUGCAGAGGAAGCGGCUUCCAAGGGACUUUAUGCCUUGGGAUUUCAGAGACUUAACUGUGCAGCCUCCAGGAGGGGAGGGCUCAUGCUUUCUGGAGUGAGACAGGUCCCGCAGCAGCCUGAGAUGUAUAAACACAGAAAACCUGUCCACUCAAACUGCAUUUGGAAUGAGAGCACUCACUCUACACAUUAUCAUGCUCACUUCCCAAAGAGAAAAUGUUUUCCACUGCAUUUUGGCCUCCCUUCCUGAACCCAGGCUUGAUGUUUUUUACCUUGCUGUGCAGUGACUUCAUGCCAUGUGAGGCUGUGUGCAGCAGCAUCCUAUGCAGUUUCGUACCAGUCACCAAGACCCAGGGUGCGGCCCCCCAUGCCAGAGGGCCCCAGCCUUACACCUGAUCUGACAACACAGGAGAAUGAUCGCAGGGAAUGAUCGGCACAAAGGCAAGUAGAGCCAGGCCUGCUAUGUCACUCCCGCUGCUAUGUUAAAAUGCAGUCAGUCCUAAUGCCUCAAUAGCUGGCCGCUAUUCUAUUAAUGAGUUGAGGACUAUAGUAACACAGAAAGGCUGAGUAACAAAAGCUGAAAAUGUUUUCCUUUAGAGACCAGUCAUGAGCGGUUUUAUGAAUCAAAUAUUUAAUCAACUUAUCUGUACAAAAUAUUAAAAUGGUUAAUGAAGAGUAUACAAGCACGUUUAACAAAUAUAUACUGCUAUAUAGUAAGAAAAAUAGAGAUUGCUGUUUUACAUGUCAUUUACAUUUCACUAUGUACAAUCUAUUUAAAUUUGAGAAUACAUAUACACAUAGGUUUCUACCAACCCUGGGAGGGCUCCCUGCUAGCUGGCCUGGGCAUCGGCAACACCUCACGACGUCAGCUUGCGUUGCCCAAAUAAACACCCAGGCCAGGCAGCAAGGAGACAGCCCAGCCUGCAAGCCUCGGAGUUCUGCUCUGGCUACACCAGCAGGAAGAAUGCUGACGAAGGAGAUUUCAGUUUGCCUUAAAUGAGUUUUUAAUGUCCCCUCACACCCCAAUCUCAUUACUCCCAAGCCAAGAAAAAGUGGGUGUCACUGCAAAGCGAAAGGACUUCUAUCCCCUCACCAAAAUAAUUAUUUUUGUCUUUAGCUGCUGAGGAAAUGGUGUGUUGAGCCUUGAUGGCAUUACCAGCACUUUGAGUUUUACCAUUUCCUUAAAAUCACGGUACUGGAAUCAGAUGAAAUUUGCUUUUUAAGCUGCAGGCCACUCGUCACGUGCAGAAUUCUGCUGCCCACCCAAGGCCUACUUAAACAGCAUCAUUUUGUAAGCUGGUACAGGAACUCUGCAACAACCUUCAGAGAAAUGAUCUGCUGCUUUAUUUGUAUGCAAAAAGAAAAA